CCCGAGAUGAGUUCUCCCUGACUCCUUGAGAGUCCUGAAGGAACGUUGAAGACGACGACGUUGAUAGGUCGGGUGUGUAAGCGCAGCGAUGCGUUGAGCUAACCGAUACUAAUGAACCGUGAGGCUUAACCUUACAACGCCGAAGGUGUUU
This 151-nucleotide ribosomal RNA is filed under the name Enterobacter cloacae. RNAcentral's name for it is "partial 23S ribosomal RNA". The stretch from base 1 to 133 matches the Rfam family "Bacterial large subunit ribosomal RNA", at positions 2798 to 2925 of the family's 2925-position model. The record is from RNAcentral. Lineage: Bacteria; Pseudomonadati; Pseudomonadota; Gammaproteobacteria; Enterobacterales; Enterobacteriaceae.